This 8430-nucleotide long non-coding RNA is filed under the name Triticum aestivum (bread wheat). Its description in RNAcentral is "long non-coding RNA (TAES_LNC004008)". The stretch from base 460 to 585 matches the Rfam family "MIR1120/MIR1122 microRNA precursor family". The record is from RNAcentral. Lineage: Eukaryota; Viridiplantae; Streptophyta; Magnoliopsida; Poales; Poaceae.
UCCCCCCACGGUUGCUGCCACUUGAAGUUUGCAACACCGGCAAGUCUCCCACAUUAUUGUGUCAAUCUGCUUGUAAUUUGUUGUGCUUAAAUUCCCAUGAACCGUUUGGUGCUCAGAAGAGUACUAUUGUGAGAUGUGAACUCAUGAUCUAUGCAAUUGCUUUGCUCUAUUGCUUGCAUGGUUGUUGAAACUUGGUGCUGAUGUACUGUGUUGUGAAAGAUAGAGCGACAAGCUCCAACUUUGAAGUAAAUGGCCACUGUGUUAUUGAGAGUGUAUUUCACAUUGCUUGUCUGACAAUGACAUGUAUAGUACUGUGCACAUAGCUCCAACUUUGGAAUACUUUCUUUUCUUUCUUCACACCAUGUUAUAUAAAUUGUGGGAGAGCUGUACAGUGUAUGUGCAGUUGUGUGUAGAGCUAUAUAACUAGUUUGUUUUGGUAGUGUGGAGUGACUCUUUCUCUUCAUACUUCCUCCGUCCCGAAUUACUUGUUGUAGAAAUUGAUAGAAAUGGAUGUAUCUAGAAUUAAAAAUACGUCUAGACACAUUCAUUUCUAUGACAAGUAAUUCUGGACGGAGGGAGUAUUAGUCAUGACUCGUGGGGAUAGGAGACAUUGGGAAGAAAAUAACCAGCCUGAAGAGGCAAUUAGUUCUUCCUUAGCGUCACCUUUCAUGGAUGGGGCAAAGGAUAAUCAGUUCAUGGUAAGUGUUGUGAUGAUAGUUUUUGUUAUAGUGAUCCACGACGUUGGGAUUUGAGGUCCGACCUUUUGAGGGAUUCAUUAGCUCGUGAUCAAGAAUUUGACCGGUCUUCCCUUGCUAGCACUGGACUUCCUAGGGUUGAUGUAGAAUUUAUGAUCAUGUCUGGUUCUACCUAUAUAUAUAUUUUUAAUCUGUGAUACAUUGGAAUCUCUGUAUGAGAAAUAUAGGGCAAAGAAAAGAGCAUUUGGUACUUUGUCAUGACAAAUGUAUACAACAAAUCACAAGAAAUGGUUGAAUCAAAUAGGGUCAAAUGAUAAUGUUGAACACGAUCACAAUUUUGUUAGAAUUUUUACAGGUUAAGAUUCUACCAAGUAAAGACUCCUAGGAUAAUUUUGAGAGGCUCCAUACAAUGUUGAACAUGAUCCAGUUAAUGAUAGGGUUGUAUGGACUAGAUUGAGACUGAUAAAAAUUGGUCUUGUGGCCAGUGACCACCAACUUUAUCUUAUUACUGACCAUAUAUAGUACAAGGAUUUAGGAUACCAAGAGUACGGAUUACUAUCAGAACAAACUAAACACUUUUGGCCUUCAGCAAAAGGGGAAAGACAUUUAUCUUCAACAAGUACCAUUCCAAUCUUCUACAAACUUCCAAACACAAAGUCGAGAAAAAACAAAACGACGUAGAUGGCUAGAGAAUGCAUUGCAAGUCUAGUGUUCCAUGUUUUUUGCAUUUGAAAAUUGGUUUGUGCAUAAGGAUGGGAGGCAUAAUAAUGCACGUGCAAUUAUCAAGACGACAGAGAACACAAGACUUCAGACAACAAGUCUGUUUGGUUGGUGCCUAAAUUUGCCACAGUUUUUGUGCCAAAUGUGUCAGAAGGUCACAACUUUUGUAGGGAGAAAAUUAUUAGUCACACCUGUGGUAAGACUUGGCAAGAAAUCUUAUGUACGAUAAGCAGGGUAGGGUGCUAAGAAAUUAUGGCACACCACAAGUGAUCCAAUUUAAGAAGCAAACAUUACACCACGAGCGUGCAACAUGCCUAACACGGGUGGGUGGAAGGAAUUCUGCAAGUUAGGAGCUGGUUCAAAUGUGGCCCAACAGAUAAAUUUUGUGAUUAAAAAUAAAUAAAUGUCGAGCAGUUUCCUAGCAAGAGAUCCAAUGUUAAAAAUUUAUAGAGAUCCACAACAUUGCGAUGUGAGGUCUUACUUGUGCAUUGUUCAUAUGAGCAUCUGAAACAACAAGUCACAAACAUGGCAAUUGGUGAAGUCCACCUCAAAAAGGAAAACCACAUCUGGUAUCAUCUAUGGUUUAAGCAUGCAGCAACUAACAUGAUUAGGGGUUUAAAUAUCUGGGGUAGGCUUGUCUCUAGGCCUUAGUAUGAGCAUAGCUUCGGGAGACGCAUUUUCACACGUUGCCAACUCUUUACAUGCUUCCACAUAAGCUUUGGUUUCUUCUCCAUGGUUGAAACUGACAAAAAAGUAUUCAAACAUCCCUGCUUUUGAUAGCAGAAACUUCAUAAACCACAUGUCAUUUGGUAAAUACUUCGGAUGAUCCACCGAGACAUGUUUGAGAUUAGCAAACAGGUCAUCAUAUAUCACUGCAUCAAGAAUAUCUUGGUCGAUGGCAUCAUCAUUAUCAGUUUCAACUUCCGGCCUGACUACCUACACAAGGAAGUCCAAGAUUGUUGUGUCAGUUAAACAACUCAAUCCAUUAAUGGAUGUCUGUUAACCGAGACAUACAAGUUCAAGGGUGCAUCUUAUAUUACCUGAAUUUUGAGUUUUUCAAUGUGAGGACCAAAUCUCAGUGAAGAAAAUAUCGACAUAAUGCUUGGGAAUUUGCCGAAAUUUGCAGUCUGUUGCACAGCCCUCAAGUUCUGGAAUGUCCAUAAAAUCCUUUCCAGCGGAUUUUCCAUAGUCUGGAAAACAUAGAACACAGUUAGAUUAGCAUAUGGUCCUAGUGCAAGUUUACAUCGGGGUGACAUAUAACUCAAAUCAGCUAAGAGUGACUUUGUUAGCAAUGUGUUUUCGUAAUCGAAGAGGGAAACUGUUAGCAAUGUCUGUUUGCUGCAUCUAGAGUGGGUUUCAUGAAUGAAUUCACAUUGCACAGUGCCAUACAAAAAAUGAGAAAGGUGAACAGAUGAUUGCCUAUAUAUCCAGUAUCCACGCACCAAAAGAUUACCAUUAUGACUUAAAAAAUUAAAUAGUUACUUCCAAGCUCUUACCAUUACUAUUUAUACAAGAUGACUGUUGAAUACUUCAUGUAGUAACGCCAUGCUCUUAAUAGGAGUUAAUUGCAAAAAACCACCACAUUUGGGGCUUCGUUUACGGAAAAAUACUUGGUCCCUAAUUAUUUGCAAAAGUCACCAUGUAUCUAGUAAACUUUUUGCAAAUUGCAUUGAUCAGGUGAUUUAGCCUGAUUGAUCACUUUCUGACAAGUGGGGCCGGAUUGUAAAGGGAUGAUUUGGUAAAAAAUUAACAUACACCUCCCUGGAUUUCACAAAGGCACCCUUAUUUAAAAUUUUUUAAAGCAAUCAGCCCCCCUCCCACCCCCGUCCCCUGCCUCCUCCAAGGUGGUGGCUGGCCACCACGGGAUGGCCUCCCUCCUCCCUGGCCUUGCUCGCGGGGCGGCCUCCCUCUUCCCUGGCCGGCGGCUCGCCCCUAGCCACAAGCUCAGGGCCCCGGCAUGAAGUGGCUUCCAAUCCUACGCGUUCACCCGGCCCUGCCGCUGUGCUGUCGGAGCUCCGCCGCCUGGCGAGUGCUCCGCCCAGCGUGCUGCUGCUCGGCACUGCAACUCCCCGCCGGUGUGGCUACUGCUGCUCGCCGCCGCUGGUCCUCGUCGCUGCGGCUGCCACGGGCACGCCGAGCAGGAGGUUGUGGCGCUGUGUCGCGAACACGCCGACCUGCUCGUGAUUCCUGUCCGCCACCGCGACGCGCACCGGGGCGCGCACGCCGCGCUCAACUGCUCGCUCCUGCCCAUCUCCUCCCUGCUCCACCUCCUCCUCGUCUCUGUGUCCGCCCUGCCGGGGCUCAUGCUCCCCGCCACGGCAUCCAAAUGGUCGGCAGGGUUUGGGCGCCGCCGUGUCGGCCGAGCUCGCGCUGCUUCGGCAGUAGCGCUGCUCCACGGGGGGAUGGGUUGAUUGCUUUUAUUUUUCAAAUAUAGGGGUGUAUGUGUUAAUUGUUUGCUGAGUCAGCUCCUUACAACCGGUUCCAUUUAUAUGACAAGUAAUUUCAGACUGAGGGAGCAUUUUGGAGGCUCCUAGGGCUAUGUGCAAAGCCAGAUUCGCCAAACACAACCUUCAUAGUAGUAUUUGUUUUACACAUGAGACCCACCUAUUGUUGGCUUACUAUUUCUUUGAGGAGCUCGCCGCGUAGAGGACCUCUGCAACAUCCAACACCGAGGAGCUCAAAUGUCACGCCUUCGCCUUCGUGGCGGCCAAUGAGUCGCCUGGCUCUGAAGAUCCAAGCGAGGGCCAGCUGAAACCUCUCACUCUGUUCUCUGAGCCUCUCACCAACCCCCUGUUGUAUCUGGAUGAACUAUCAAUCCUAGAUCUGGGCUAUGACGGAGAAGAGCGGUCAGUGCGGGGGCGGCGGUUAGGGCUCUGGGACAAGGGGGAGGUGGAGGGGAAGGGGAAGGGAGGUGGAAGAUGAGUUGCGGGCGAGCUAAAACUUCCUUCGUGCCACGGGUUUCCUAGAUGGAGUGCGUUCCAAAGUGACCUUCGAGGCAACAAAUAUGCAAUCUGGGAGGCCAGAUAUGGAGAGCGCUUCAAAAAUUGUGAUGGCAUGGCACGGGAUGGCGACUCUACUAGAGUUGCUCUCAGCAAUAUCAGUGCUUUGACAAUUAAAUAACGAUGGACAUUUCCUCAAAAAGAAAAAUAAAUAAUGGACAUAGUUUAGAGAUUAACAUCAAUGCAUGUCGCCUCAAAUUAAAAAAAAAUAGAAUUCAACUAUUUGUUCCAUGGACAUUUGACGCAAUGUAGUUUUGUACCUGAUCUGAGUCGGUGUGCAAGUAAAGCUUCUUAACAAUAGAAAUUCGUCGGAAAGUGUUGAUGAAGUUUGGGGUCCCGAAUAGGGGAUCAAUGGAAAUUUGUGCCACCUCCAGCAAUGGGAGAUCCCCCACAAUUCGGCAUCCGUUGUCAAGGGACAUGGUCAACCUGAGGAAACGGAGGUUGGGCGCCUGGAUGGCACAUGUUACGAUAUCAGCCUCAUCGUCGCCGAUCAUGACAUCAUCCAACAAGAGCCUUGUGAGGUGCGGUGCCGAGGAGAUUAUGAGUUGGAGUUGCGCCGCGGCGCCAUGGAAAGGGAGGACCACGAACUCGAGGUAGAGGGUGAAGAGGUUGGGGAAGCCAGCGAAGCCCUGAGGAGCGCGCAACAAGUGGCAAUAGCCACAGAGCUGGAGGUGGGUGAGUGUGCUGCAGGAGUAAAGGGCCGGGCCGACCACGGGCGGGCGGGGCGAGUGGGCGGGCCAGGGCUCGUCGAACUUGAGCUUGAGCAUCUUGACGCGCUUGUGCGCCAGGGCAAGGAGCCAGCGGGCAGGGCGGUGGGAGUGGCGCCUUUGGACAUGGGCGGUGAAGCUGCGGAUGGGCGCGGCGCACGGCCAUAGGCUGCAGGCAGUGAAUUUGUGGACGGGCGCGGCGCACGGCCACAGCAGGAAGCGUGGAUCGCGUGCGGUGGAGGAUCCUCGACUGAACCAAAUGUCGAGGCCGGGGACGGAUUCCCAUCGCCGGUGCCAAGCGGGGGAGAGACAGCAGGUGCCGACCAACUUCUCGAAGGGGAGCCGACGGAGGAUGUCAUCGAGCAUCUCAGGCGGAAGGGACAUCAGGUAGUUUGGGCCGGCCAUCGGCGCCUCCUCCCCCCGCCGUUGACUCGUGGAGGAACCCACGCCCCCCAUCCUCUCCAUUGGGGAUUUGUGGGCUGGUGUGGUGGGAGUGAGGGGUGCUCCAGCCGCGUGCGCUUUUAAUGCGUGUUGCCGCACACAUCCAUUUUUACAAUUAAUGAUGGUAUUUCUACAAAUAUAUUGAGACCUUGAGACAUGAAAGUUAAUUUUGUCGAUAUCAAAAGGAUAUGUUGCUUAUUAUUAAUCUUGGUUGUUUCACAUUGUCAACAACACCAGAUACAUAAUGAUAGUAUUCGGAAAGGUAAAGAAAAGACUUACAAAGCCUGCAUUUGUGGGAUAAAUCCAUCUAUCCGCCAACGAUCAUAAUAAUACCUCUCAAGGAGAAAAAUGAUUCCUUUUCUGCAAUAGCACACACAAUUUCCGGGAAAGAGAUCAAUGCAAGUUUAGAGACAAAACUAUGCAACAUAAAUAAGAUGAAUAAUUGUCCCGGUUUAUUACCUUUUUUACCGACUUCGCAAUGCUACGUCCCUUGCGAGUUGUGGUGGGACCAUGUUGCUCCCUUGUCUUCUCGCCCAUACCUCUUCCAUAGUCUUCCUCAACAACGGUGGCAGUGGUACACCUAUGGUUUGUCGUAGGCCGCGAGAACAAGGGGGUGGCGAGGGGAAGCUGAAUGAAAUAGCUGAUGAUGAAAACAAUGCAUAUUUUGAUCUUCAAAGUGGAUACAAAGGAGUAUGCUUGUAGUAAAUUUUACUAAGUAAUUUUAUAGUUCGAAAUUGUAAUAUGUAAGAAGCAUGAGAACAUGUAUCAAAUUACGUGCAUGAUAACAUUCAAAUCAUCGAAAUGAAACGUAGAUCGGCUGAGAGAGGCCACCAGCAGGAAGCAAGCAGAUGGUGAGAUGGGAUGGGGCAGUGGUGGAGUAUAUUUCACAAACCUUGACCUUGAUUGAUGAUCCACAGGGGAAAUCCUGCUCGUGUGCAAUGGAGUUUGGAUUCAGGAAAGGAUCCAUAGGCGUCGCCGGGGCAGAUCUAAUUGUCAAUGUUUCAUGUGGUGAUUGAGCUGGUUACUUGUCAAUAAUUUCACAAUAACAUGCGCGCGCACGCACCCAUCAAGCUGAAGCAGGAGACAACACCCUAGAGCCCGACAAGGUAGCCACCAACACCGUCGAACGCCCUGCUUAGCCGAGACCACAUGGUAGACACCGGUGUGCUACCAAAGCCGUUGAACCGCAUCAUAAAGAACAAACUAAGCAGUCAGAGUUUUCGCAAGCAAUAUAUUACUGCGUAACCGUGCACUUUCUCCAGAGUUUUCUCAAGCCGCGGCUAAGUUUUCCUUAUAACACUGUAGUACAGUUUUAUUUGAAUGUUGACAAUUUUAGGAAGAUGGUUAUGUUCAUUAAGUUGCUGUUAUAGCCUGCUCAUAACUGAAUGAGAUUAGACAAGAACAUGAAUAAUGCAUUGCGCCAUCUAAUGAGCUUUGCAUUCCCAUUCCAAGUGUCAAGUUGCCUAGUAUUAUGUCAUGUUGUAGGCUUCAGUCACAUAUUCCCCUUUGUUUCUUCUUUCUUUAUCAUGCAAGGUUCUAAAGUGCUUAUUAGUGGCUUAAAAGGGUUCGUCACUGUGAUUUCCCCAUCUUCCUCUUUUGUGACAAAUGCUAAAAGUACUCCCACUGUUCAGUAAUGUUGAUGGUUUUUGCCAUGGUCAUGUGAAUUAAGGAAUAUCCUCAGUUAAUCAUCAUUUCCUUCUCUUAAUCCUAGGUCAUCUAAUCUUUUCUUAAUUCUGGUGUGCUCUUUCCAAGGAAGAGCAUUAACAGGAGAAAUACUUGUUAAUCAGAGCAAUGCCAAAAUGGCAUACACUUGUGGACUCGAUGACAUGGCUAAAACCAUUCUUUUACCUAGAAAAUGUAAAACGACAUACUCUUCUGGACUUGGUGAGAUGGCUAAAACCACCCAUCUUGCCUAGAAACUGUGAAAAGAUAUACGCUUCUCGACUUGAUGAGAUGGCUAUAACCACCCCUAUCUGUGGACUUGGGAGGGAGACUUAUUGUGUGUAGCAGUCAAUCACAUGUUUUUUAACUUGCCUCAGCCUUUAACUCUUCAUAAAUUUUGACAUCAAAACAGACAAAUGGACACAAGAAUACUUCAGUCAGUGUGACAUCAUUAUUGUAGACUUCAUAGAGCUUCAUAAAUCUUGAUGUUUUCAUGCUUACGCUGACAUGACAUAUUCUUGAAGCACAACACUGCAGCAGGCAACUGAACUCAUGAUUCAAAGACUUGCUAAAUGCUAUUCUUAUUUCGCUGAAAGAGUUAUGCGUUUGUGAGUUCUAAACAUGCAUCCUAUUAGUAUCGUUGUCAAUGCUUGGGCUUGUAACACAGAAACUUAUAUGAUUUUACAGGAACCAUAGAAACUUAUCCAUGAGAAAGUUUGUAGCGCAGCUUUCCUGCAUCUUGUGAACAUAAUCAAUGGAUGUCAACUUGUGUAAUUGAAGUAUUGUGGUUUGCAGGUCAAGUUUGGUGUCAUCUUCAAUGACGACCGAUGCGCAAACAUAUUUGAAGCAUUAGUUGGCACCUUACGGGCUGCCAAGAAGAGGAAAGUUGUCACCUACGACGGUGAAAUGCUUCUGCAGGGUGUUCAUGACAAUGUGGACAUAACCAUGUUCCCUCCCCCCACGGUUGCUGCCACUUGAAGUUUGCAACACCGGCAAGUCUCCCACAUUAUUGUGUCGAUCUGCUUGUAGUUUGUUGUGCUUAAAUUCCCAUAAACCGUUUGGUGCUCCCAGAAGAGUACUAUUGUGAGAUGUGAACUCAUGAUCUAUGCAAUGGCUUUGCUCUAUUGCUUGCAUGGUUGUUGAAACUCGGUGCUGAUGUACUGUGUUGUGAAAGAUAGAGCAACAAGCUCCAACUUUGAAGUAAAU